This is a non-coding RNA of Oryctolagus cuniculus (rabbit), 2899 nucleotides long. The record is from RefSeq and is a predicted model, not a curated record. NCBI's taxonomy places the organism in Eukaryota, Metazoa, Chordata, Mammalia, Lagomorpha, Leporidae.
GCACCUUGAGACCAAACUUACCUUCAGGCAGCAGGGCUGGUUUUGGCCAAAUGAGUUUCGGUUCAUCUCCUCUUGGCCUCAGUUCUGCUUCCCUGCAUCCAAUGUGCAGACGAUGUGGCAGCUCCCAGGGUCUCCCUCUCCUUUCUGAGGACAAGCUACAUCAGUGUCUGACACAGAAACCAAGUUCAAAGUUACCGUUCAUUCAGUCAAAGGUGUGAUCAUCGCUAGCAUUUAGUGAGUGGUUUCUAUGAGCCAGACACCAGACGCUAGAUCAUCUAAAUUUGGCAACAACAUCUACAUUGACAGUCGAAGAAACUUGGUUCUAGACAGGUUAGGAAAGCUGCCCAAGUCACAGAGCACGUGACCUGCUGUUAGAGACCCCAUGUCCCUCACAGCACCUGGUAUAGGUGACAUAGAAACACAGGGAUGGUACAGACUGCCAAGUGGCUGCAGACCCAGAAGCCGCUAACUUGCACGUGUAAAGCAAGAACAAAGAGUGAGGCCGGUAUUCAGUAAAGUGUUAGCUUGUGUGACAUGGAUUAUAAUUGCCAUCCAAUUGAGAAACAGAGACAUUUAGGUGGCCUGGGGGGUUUCUCCCAGGAAGGCUGCUCAAGUCAAGCUGAGUGUCAGGAUGGCUGUGAUUUGGGGGGCAGAGGGCAGAUAGGACGGUUUGUGACAACAGAGAGGACUGGGGUGACUUAACUGUGGAGUACGGCCAUCAGAGUAACACAGGCAGCUGUGGUGGGCCUCAGUUAACCAAGCAGCCGGAGUCUCGGGGCUCUCGCGAGCAAGUGCAGGAGUUCAUGAGCGGCCUGGGAUGAAGGAGCCGCUCCUGAAUUGGGGCGAGGGAUGGGAUUCCAGCUGGCCGAAUGGUGUUCUAGGGAAAAAGAAUGAGUUAGAGUCAUCAGAUGAUCGGCAGAAAAAUUGUAUCUUCCAAAUCAAGGUUGCGUUCUGGCACACUGACUUCAGCUGAACUGAUGUGAAGAAAGUGCGGUUACUGUGUGUUCAUCACUGCACGCAAGCAUGGAAGUGGCUCAGUGUUUGAUAGAAAAGGCGUCACAGGGAGCGAGUGAGCUCGGUAGCUGUUCCCUAGGCGAGUGGGAAGCAGAGGGACUGGCUUUCCAGCAUCACGCCCUUGGCUGGGACUGGAAGAUGGACUCUGAGGGGCUCCCCUUUGGGGUUGUGGCGGCUCCUCCUCUCGGGAGCUUGCAUGGAACACAUCACAUCAGCAAGACUGCACUUUGGUGGUGAAGCAGUAUCAAUCCAUAGACUUCUGGACUUGGCGAGCUCUUGAUUAUGUAAAUCAAGAUUGCACCUCAAAUCAUGCCUCUGUAAAUCCUUUGUGUGUGUGGGCGGGGGGUGGGGGGAGGGUGGGAGAGGGGGAAGAGGGAGAGGGAGAGCAAAGCUUUGUGACUUAGAAGGACUGUAAAACACAGCUUUCCUUUGCUAUCAUUUUAGUAAUCCCCUGGUAUGAAGGUGAGUUAUGUAUGUCCCUUCUGGGCAGCUACGGAGGGGCAGACGACUGAGCUAACACGACCAAGAUUCGUGAUUCUCAGUAGGUACCAUCUGAGUCACCCUAAGUCUUGUUUAUAAGCAGAGUUUUGGUGUAGAUGUGUCUAAAAGCUUGAUAGGUCAGUAACAAAUGCAUGGGGAAGGAGAUACUACUUUUACUGGGUUUUCUUUCAGAUUCACAAUUGAGAAGAGUUAUUUAGAUUAGAUACUGGCCCAUGAGCUGUGUUAAUAUGAAACCAUGUUAAAAUCCUGAAAUCAACCAUCAACCUAACAACCAUUCAUUGUGUCUAGUUUGACCAGGUUACUAGUCUGGAAUAUCUAUUGUCAGUUUGGCUUCCUCCUUCCAGAAGAAGGGGUCAUGCUUUGAACUUGGAAUAUUUUGGGGUUGUAACAAGGCUUAAAUGUGAAUUUUGUUUCUAUUUUCCUCUCUGCCUGUGUCUCUCGCCCUCUCUCCUACCCUCCUGGUUGUAAUUUCAGCAGCCCUACGUUCUCAACAUCAAACAGAGGUUAAGGACCGUGUUAUUUAAACAAGAUGAGUGCAUUCGAUAAUGACCGAGUAAGGAAAGUGGAGGAGGAAGAAAGCAGGGGCGGACGGCAACUCCCAACAGCAGGGCAAGGGGAAAAAUGUCUCACCAGUGCCACAUUCAUAGGUCCACUCUGUAAAAAUACUGCUGUCAUAACAUUAUAAUUCAUCUCCUUAAAUUUUUAUGUUUCCCACUUUGGAAAACAACUAUGUCUAGUAUAUAAUUUUACCCUUUUAUUAUGACAUUUGAGAAAGUAGCCAAGACUGGUUAGGUUUAAUUACCCCCAUCAAGUUAUUUUAGAUGUCAGUUUCUACAAGUCAUUCACGAAGGGGCAGAUGGUAGAAGCCUGUUAUUCCAGAAUGGCCAGGCUCAGGGAGAGCUAGAGAAAAACAGUGACUCUCUUCUUGGAUGUUUGUGGUGUUGAGAAAACAUACCCUGAAUGUUUGCUUUGGUGAUCUCAUUGUAUGAUUUUAGAAGAGCCAUCAGCUGAUGUGUUUUGUCUGUCUCUUUAAAUACUCUUAAGAAUGUGGCCCAACUGCAUGUUUUCAAUCAGAGAUAAUCAAAUAAUGAGAGCUGUAGUUGUUUUGAAUUUGCCAUUUGCUGCUGUUAGUUUCUUCAUGGUACUGUCUUGAACUUGGGUUUGAAAUGUUAAUGUAUUCUGAUUCCAUGACCUCAUCUGCAUGUGGCAGAUGGAGAAAUGGAAUUUGUACUCUUUGAAAAUCUGCAUUCCUCAGUGUUCUAAGUUUAGGUAAUGAUACAUCUCUGGACUGUGUCUGUGUUCAGAAUGUACUGCAUUUGGUCAUCUCUGGUCACUAGCACAAACCUUUAAUUACUGCCUAAAUAUAGACACGUAUUUUUUUUUU